RNAcentral lists this ribosomal RNA (468 nucleotides) under uncultured bacterium. RNAcentral's name for it is "partial 16S ribosomal RNA". It matches the Rfam family "Bacterial small subunit ribosomal RNA", at positions 28 to 507 of the family's 1533-position model. The record is from RNAcentral.
GACGAACGCUGGCGGCGUGCUUAACACAUGCAAGUCGAACGGAAAGGCCCUGCUUUUGUGGGCUGCUCGAGUGGCGAACGGGUGAGUAACACGUGAGUAACCUGCCCUUGACUUUGGGAUAACUUCAGGAAACUGGGGCUAAUACCGGAUAGGAGCUCCCGCUGCAUGGUGGGCGUUGGAAAGUUUCGGCGGUUGGGGAUGGACUCGCGGGUUAUGGGCUUGUUGGUUGGGUAGUGGCUUACCAAGGCUUUGACGGGUAGCCGGCCUGAGAGGGUGACCGGCCACACUAGGACUGAGAUACGGCACAGACUAGAAUGGGAGGCAGGAGUGGAGAGUAGUGUACAAUGGGCGGGAGCCUGAUGCGACAACGCCGCGUGCGGGAUGACGGCCUGCGGGUUGUAAAGCGCUGUCGCCUGUGACGGAGCGUGAGUGACGGUAAUGGGUAAAGAAGCACCGGCUAACUACGUG